GAUGAAGAACGUAGUAAAAUGCGAUAAGUAAUGUGAAUUGCAGAAUUCAGUGAAUCAUCGAAUCUUUGAACGCACAUUGCGCCCGCCAGUAUUCUGGCGGGCAUGCCUGUUCGAGCGUCAUUUCAACCCUCAAGCACAGCUUGGUGUUGGGACUCGCGUUAAUUCGCGUUCCUCAAAUUGAUUGGCGGUCACGUCGAGCUUCCAUAGCGUAGUAGUAAAACCCUCGUUACUGGUAAUCGUCGCGGCCACGCCGUUAAACCCCAACUUCUGAAUGUUGACCUCGGAUCAGGUAGGAAUACCCGCUGAACUUAAGCAUAUCAAUAAGCGAGGA
Molecule: unclassified non-coding RNA, 331 nt
Filed under: soil metagenome
Description: partial contains 5.8S ribosomal RNA, internal transcribed spacer 2, and large subunit ribosomal RNA
Rfam family: 5.8S ribosomal RNA (bases 1-120)
Source: RNAcentral